UACAGAGGGGGCAAGCGUUGUUCGGAAUUACUGGGCGGAAAGGGCGCGUAGGCGGCCCGCUAAGUCGAACGUGAAAUCCCCAGGCUUAACCUGGGAACUGCGUCCGAUACUGGCAGGCUUGAAUCCGGGAGAGGGAUGUGGAAUUCCAGGUGUAGCGGUGAAAUGCGUAGAUAUCUGGAGGAACACCGGUGGCGAAGGCGGCAUCCUGGACCGGCAUUGACGCUGAGGCGCGAAAGCUAGGGGAGCAAACGGG
This 253-nucleotide ribosomal RNA is filed under the name uncultured bacterium. Its description in RNAcentral is "partial 16S ribosomal RNA". It matches the Rfam family "Bacterial small subunit ribosomal RNA", at positions 524 to 776 of the family's 1533-position model. The record is from RNAcentral.